UACGUAGGGUGCGAGCGUUGUCCGGAUUUAUUGGGCGUAAAGAGCUCGUAGGCGGCUCAGUAAGUCAGAUGUGAAAACUCAGGGCUCAACCCGGAGACGCCAUCUGAUACUGCUGUGGCUUGAGUCUGGUAGGGGAUCACGGAAUUCCUGGUGUAGCGGUGAAAUGCGCAGAUAUCAGGAGGAACACCGAUGGCGAAGGCAGUGAUCUGGGCCAGUACUGACGCUGAGGAGCGAAAGCGUGGGUAGCAAACAGG
RNAcentral lists this ribosomal RNA (254 nucleotides) under uncultured bacterium. Its description in RNAcentral is "partial 16S ribosomal RNA". It matches the Rfam family "Bacterial small subunit ribosomal RNA", at positions 524 to 776 of the family's 1533-position model. The record is from RNAcentral.